UGGGGAGUACGGUCGCAAGAUUAAAACUCAAAGGAAUUGACGGGGACCCGCACAAGCGGUGGAUGAUGUGGAUUAAUUCGAUGCAACGCGAAAAACCUUACCUACCCUUGACAUGUCCGGAAUCCUGCAGAGAUGCGGGAGUGCCCGAAAGGGAAUCGGAACACAGGUGCUGCAUGGCUGUCGUCAGCUCGUGUCGUGAGAUGUUGGGUUAAGUCCCGCAACGAGCGCAGCCCUUAUCAUUAGCUGCUACGCAAGGGCACUCUAAUGAGACUGCCGGUGACAAACCGGAGGAAGGUGGGGAUGACGUCAAGUCCUCAUGGCCCUUAUGGGUAGGGCUUCACACGUCAUACAAUGGUCGGUACAGAGGGUUGCCAAGCCGCGAGGUGGAGCCAAUCCCAGAAAGCCGAUCGUAGUCCGGAUUGUUCUCUGCAACUCGAGAGCAUGAAGUCGGAAUCGCUAGUAAUCGCGGAUCAGCAUGUCGCGGUGAAUACGUUCCCGGGUCUUGUACACACCGCCCGUCACACCAUGGGAGUGGAAUCUGCCAGAAGUAGGUAGCCUAACCGCAAGG
Molecule: ribosomal RNA, 568 nt
Filed under: uncultured bacterium
Lineage: Bacteria
Description: bacterial SSU rRNA
Rfam family: Bacterial small subunit ribosomal RNA
Source: RNAcentral